CAGUAGCCGCGGUAACACGGAGGGUGCAAGCGUUAAUCGGAAUUACUGGGCGUAAAGCGCACGCAGGCGGUUUGUUAAGUCAGAUGUGAAAUCCCCGAGCUUAACUUGGGAACUGCAUUUGAAACUGGCAGGCUAGAGUCUCGUAGAGGGGGGUAGAAUUCCAGGUGUAGCGGUGAAAUGCGUAGAGAUCUGGAGGAAUACCGGUGGCGAAGGCGGCCCCCUGGACGAAGACUGACGCUCAGGUACGAAAGCGUGGGGAGCAAACAGGAUUAGAUACCCACGUAGUCCCUGUCUCUUAUAC
Molecule: ribosomal RNA, 301 nt
Filed under: uncultured bacterium
Lineage: Bacteria
Description: partial 16S ribosomal RNA
Rfam family: Bacterial small subunit ribosomal RNA
Source: RNAcentral